UUGACGUAGACCCGAAACCGGGCGACCUACCCAUGAGCAGGAUGAAGCGAAAGUAAAAUUUCGUGGAGGUCCGAACCCACGAGCGUUGAAAAGCUCGGGGAUGACUUGUGGGUAGCGGUGAAAUUCCAAUCGAGCCCGGAGAUAGCUGGUUCUCCCCGAAAUAGCUUUAGGGCUAGCCUCAAGGUGAGAGAUACGGAGGUAGAGCACUGAAUGUCCUAGGGGGUAUUGCACCUACCGAAGACUAUCAAACUCCGAAUGCCGUCAUCUUAUACUUGGGAGUCAGACUGUGGGUGAUAAGAUUCAUAGUCGAAAGGGCAACAGCCCAGAUCGUCAGCUAAGGUCCCUAAAUGUAAGUUAAGUGGUAAAGGAUGUGGGAUUGCACAGACAACCAGGAUGUUGGCUUAGAAGCAGCCACUCAUUCAAAGAGUGCGUAAUAGCUCACUGGUCGAGUGAUCCUGCGCCGAAGAUUUCCGGGGCUAAAACUUACUACCGAAGCUACGGCAUCAGUAAUGAUGGGUAGGGGAGCUUCCCAUACGGGUUGAAGCAUGACCGUAAGGACAUGUGGACAGUAUGGGAGUGAGAAUGUUGGCAUGAGUAGCGAGAUGUGGGUGAGAAUCCCACAGGCCGUAAACCCAAGGUUUCCAGGGGAAGGUUCGUCCGCCCUGGGUUAGUCGGGACCUAAGCUGAGGCCGAAAGGCGUAGGUGAUGGACAACAGGUUGAUAUUCCUGUACUACCGAUAACCGUUUGAGAGAAGGGAUGACACAGUAGGAUAAGCUAAGCACACUGUUGGUUAUGUGUGCCCAAGCAUUGAGGCAGUCAAAGUAGGCAAAUCCGCUUUGAUAAUGCUGGGAUGUGAUGGGGAGCGAAAUUUAGUAGCGAAGUAGCUGAUUUCACACUGUCAAGAAAAGUCUCUAUCGAGGUUAAAGGUACCCGUACCGCAAACCGACACAGGUGGGUGAGGAGAGUAUCCUAAGGCCAGCGAGAGAACUGUUGUUAAGGAACUCGGCAAAAUGACCCCGUAACUUAGGGAUAAGGGGUGCCACCAUCAGGUGGCCGCAGAGAAUAGGCCCAAGCGACUGUUUACCAAAAACAUAGGUUUCUGCUAAGUCGCAAGACGAUGUAUAGGAGCUGACGCCUGCCCGGUGCUGGAAGGUUAAGGGGAUCUGUUAGAGCAAUCGAAGCAGUGAACUUAAGCCCCAGUAAACGGCGGCCGUAACUAUAACGGUCCUAAGGUAGCGAAAUUCCUUGUCGGGUAAGUUCCGACCCGCACGAAAGGCGUAACGAUUUGGGCACUGUCUCAACAACAGACUCGGUGAAAUUGUAAUUCCGGUGAAGAUGCCGGAUACCUGCGACAGGACGGAAAGACCCCAUGGAGCUUUACUGUAGCUUGACAUUGGGUCUUGGUACUACAUGUACAGGAUAGGUGGGAGGCUUUGAAACCAGGACGCCAGUUUUGGCGGAGCCAUCCUUGGGAUACCACCCUUGUAGUACUGGGACUCUAACCAUAGGCCAUGAAUCUGGUCUUGGGACACUGUCAGGUGGGCAGUUUGACUGGGGCGGUCGCCUCCCAAAAGGUAACGGAGGCGCUCAAAGGUUCUCUCAGUACGGUCGGAAAUCGUACGUAGAGUGUAAAGGCAAAAGAGAGCUUGAUUGCAAGACAUACAGGUCGAGCAAGGAUGAAAAUCGGACUUAGUGAUCCGGUGGUUCUGCGUGGAAGGGCCAUCGCUCAACGGAUAAAAGCUACCCUGGGGAUAACAGGCUUAUCUCCCCCAAGAGUCCACAUCGACGGGGAGGUUUGGCACCUCGAUGUCGGCUCAUCACAUCCUGGGGCUGUAGUAGGUCCCAAGGGUUGGGCUGUUCGCCCAUUAAAGUGGUACGCGAGCUGGGUUCAGAACGUCGUGAGACAGUUCGGUCCCUAUCCGUCGCAGGCGUAGGAAAUUUGAGAAGACCUGUCCUUAGUACGAGAGGACCGGGAUGGACGUACCUCUGGUGUACCAGUUGU
Molecule: ribosomal RNA, 2003 nt
Filed under: Clostridioides difficile
Lineage: Bacteria; Bacillati; Bacillota; Clostridia; Peptostreptococcales; Peptostreptococcaceae
Description: partial 23S ribosomal RNA
Rfam family: Bacterial large subunit ribosomal RNA
Source: RNAcentral